Molecule: ribosomal RNA, 130 nt
Filed under: uncultured bacterium
Lineage: Bacteria
Description: partial 16S ribosomal RNA
Rfam family: Bacterial small subunit ribosomal RNA
Source: RNAcentral
UGGGGAAUAUUGCACAAUGGGCGCAAGCCUGAUGCAGCGACGCCGCGUGCGGGAUGGAGGCCUUCGGUUGUAAACCGCUUUUGUUCAAGGGCAAGGCAGGCUUUUCGGGCCUGUUGAGUGGAUUGUUCGG